UACGUAGGGAGCAAGCGUUGUCCGGAAUCAUUGGGCGUAAAGAGCGUGUAGGCGGCCAGAUAAGUCCGCUGUGAAAUCUCGAGGCUCAACUUCGAGCUGUCGGUGGAAACUGUCUGGCUAGAGUCCGGAAGAGGAGAAUGGAAUUCCUGGUGUAGCGGUGAAAUGCGCAGAUAUCAGGAAGAACACCCGUGGCGAAGGCGGCUCUCUGGGACGGUACUGACGCUGAGACGCGAAAGCGUGGGGAGCAAACAGG
Molecule: ribosomal RNA, 253 nt
Filed under: uncultured bacterium
Lineage: Bacteria
Description: partial 16S ribosomal RNA
Rfam family: Bacterial small subunit ribosomal RNA
Source: RNAcentral